Long non-coding RNA from Callithrix jacchus (white-tufted-ear marmoset), 9761 nucleotides. RefSeq lists it as uncharacterized. NCBI's taxonomy places the organism in Eukaryota, Metazoa, Chordata, Mammalia, Primates, Cebidae. The record is from RefSeq and is a predicted model, not a curated record.
CUUUCUAGUCGCAGCGCCGGCCGCACCGCCGCGUUGCUGGGAGCCCGGACCCGAGCCGCUCGGGAGGGAGCGCGGCGGGGGCAGGAGGAAGCCGCGCUGCCCAGGCCGGGCCGGGCCCCAUCUCCCGUCUCCGUGACAGGAAUACAGGGCAUUGGCAGGCGGAGACGUACCCUGUGGCUUGGGCUUUCUCUGCAAGGCCAGUGGGGAUGAAACCAAGUAACAAAGACCCUGACUUUGCUUAAUGACCAAGACUCAGUUAGAUAACGAACCGGCGCUGCUGUUGGCAGAGAGCCUUCUAGAUGCUCGCUGCAGUGUGGCCUGUGAAAGUGGGAAGGCGGAUUGGAAGGAAAGAGCUGCUUGAGUCAUAUUUCCUUACAGCCAAAGGAGAGGAUCUGUUGGUUUGGGCUGAUCAUUAUUUGUUAGUGUUUAUUAAUCGUGAUUUACUGAGAACUUUUAUGUUCCAGAUAUCACAUACUUUAUAUUCACUCACUACAAUCCUGCACAGUUUUGUUGCUGAUUUUCUUUCUUUAAUAAAAGAGAAAAUUGAGUUUCAGAGAUGUUAAGUAAUUUGUCCAACGCUGUUACACAGCUUUUAAAUGGCAUACCUGAAAGCCAAUCUUGUUAUGGCUAUAACUUUUACUCUUUCUAUGAGGAACAUAUAGCUUAUGCCUUAUAAAUUUCAAAUUGAAGGUGCCAGGUGGCUGUGGCUUAGAAUAGGUGAGUUGGCCGUGGAAAAACAAAGUAAAUUAAUAAUUCACAUGUACUAUAAUAUCUGCUCUAACUGCACUUUUCACUGCAGAGAACGUCAGGAAAAAUUCAGUUAAGGUAAAAUCAUUAGGCAGAGUUGAAAAAGCCUCCCUUUCCAACAUAUAAAGAAUAAGAAAAAACCCUAGCCUGGUCAUGGUGAGCCUGUACAAAAAUGUGUAAUGCCAUCAGGCCAUUGUCAUUCCUGCUUUAAAUAAUUGCUUAUUCAUUAAAAAAAUUGUUUUAGGCCGGGGGUGGUGGCUCACGCCUGUAAUCCUAGCACUUUGGGAGGCCCAGGUGGGUAGAUCACCUGAGGUUUGAAAGCAGCCUGGCCAACAUGGCAAAACCUCGUCUCUACUAAAAAUACAAAAAUUAGCCAGGAGUGGUGGCAGGCGCCUGUAAUCCCAGUUAUUCCGGAGGCUGAGGCAAGAGAAUGGCUUGAACCCAGGUCGCAGGGGACAGGGUGGAUGUUGCAGGGAGCCGAGAUCAUGCCACUUUAGCCUUGGUGAAAAGGUGAAACAGAACAGCUUGAGAUUUAAAGAACAAUUGAGGAUGCUAUAGGGUUCCCAUGAACCCUCCAAUCAGUUUCACCUAUUAUUAACAUCUGACUUUAAUGAUGAAAUAUUUUAUAAUUACUGAAGCAAUAUUGACCUAUUAUUACUAAAGAUCAUGAUUGAUUCAGAUUUCCUUAGUUCUUACCCAAUUCCUUUGUCCACUCCAGGAUCGCAUCCAGGAUCCACAUUAUAUUUAGUUGUCACGUCACUUUAGGCUCUACUUGGCUGGGAGAGUUUUUCAGACUUUUGUUAGUCUUGAUUACAUUGACAGUUUUGAGGACUACUGAUUAUUAAUUUUGAAAGAGGUAAGUAGGUGCUCCUGUAUUGAGAUUUGUCUGCUGUUUUUCUCAUGAUUAGACUGGGAUAAAGGAUUUUAGAAGACCACAGAGGUAAAAUACCACUUUACGCAUCGGAUCAAGGGUUUAUACUACCAACAUGAUUUAUGACUGUUGGUGUUGAACCUGAUCACCUGACCAGGUAGUGCUUGUCAGAUUUCUCCAAUAUAAAGUUACUUUUGUUUUUUUUUUUUUUGCCCCUUUAUAUACUGUAUUCUUUGGAAUUCACUAUGUAUAUCUCACAUCUAAGAAGUAGGGCUCUCGUUAGCAACACUCUUGUUCAUUUCUCCCAAACUCUCAAAAUGAUCUAUUCUUAUUUAGCUUUAUUUGAUAUUAUUUAUGUUUUUCAAUCUCACCACCUCCACUUCUAUUCUCCAAAUUAUAACUGACAAAUCAUAGACCUUCAGAGCUCAGAGAGAAUGUAUGGCACCUUGUUCUUUUGGGGUUCAAUUGCCAAAGCCGGAAGACACAGAAACACAUGUACUGAAAGAAUGUUCUAUUUAAUAUUUCCCCAAAGCAAGGACACAGUCAUCAUGGGACAAAUCAAAUUGUUGGAUAUCCUGACCCUUAUUUUAGGGUCUAGUUUUAUUUUUAUUUUGAAUUAUAUAGAAGGUAUAUAAUCAUUUUAGUAUCAAAGUUCUAAGGACCCCUCAUAUUUUGUAGAAAAAUUAGAGAGGGAAAGUGAGUUGUCCCAGGCCACAGAGCUGUAUUCCAAGGAUACAUAGUCUGCUCGCUUCAAAGAGGAACAGGCACAGAUUUCCCUACAACCCUAACACAGAACGUAGCUGAUUCUUUGGUGAUGACGAGGAGGAAGACAAAGAUGAUGAGUAGGGGUAGAAGUUUAAUGUGGAGAUAGUAUCAUUUCUUCAGUGUUUUAUACACAUGUGUUUGUCUGAUUUCUACAUCAUUUAUAGGAGAGAAGAAAAACAAACAAAUGUAAAAUAAUCUCUUAGACGUAAGCACAAUUGUUAUCUUCCUAAACAUUUCAAAUUGUAAUCACUUCUGUCUAUGGGCUAAUGAGGACAUUUUUCUUCAUACUCUUCUAUUUUGUUUGAAUGUUUUAAAGUACACUUUUGUAAAUUUAAACAUUUUGUCACUUAAUGAAAAACUAUGGUAGAAAUAUAACCAAAAAUUGUCUGGUGGUCAAUUUAUUUUAGUGGAAAGAAAACUGAAGAAAGUUAGCAGUGUGUCAUUGACCUUGAAUUGAUAUUUAACUAACAAUCUGAGUGCCAACCCCAGACAGCUUAGGCAUAUCUUGCCUGUAGAUCACAUCUAGCUAAAUUUUUUUGUGAGUGGGAAAAUUCAGAAAGUGGAGUUCAGUUUUUUGUUUUUCCCCAGAAGAAUCUGCUCCCAAAUCAACAUAUUGUAAAGGAGCUGGUAGGAAGGAUGGAUUAGGCUAAAUUCACCCUGGGGGAAAACAGAAAAGAUAUUUCUCAAUGGAAAAUACACUGAGGCUUUUUUUAAAGGAAGUUUUAAACAGAUAUGUUUGUUUGAUUAAUUUAAUCCAAUAUGCAGCAGAGGACAACACAUAGUUGUUUUCUGGUGGUGAAUGGGAUGGGCAAAGGACUCAUAUUCAUAAAGCUAUAAUUGGCACACACUGCAGUUAUAAGGAGAGGAGAGGAAAAGGCAAUGAUGUAGCCUAAUGUGUCCAAGCUUCUCAAGAGUGAGAAUCCCUUUAGAAAGUCAAAAUUGGGCCUGGUGCAGUGGCUCAUGCCUGUAAUCCCAGCAUUUUGGGAGGCUGAGGUGGGUGGAUCACCUGAGGUCAGGAGUUCGAGACCAGCCUGACCAACAUGGUGAAACUCCAACUCUACUAAAAAUACAAAAAAUUAGCCAGGCAUGGUGGUAUGCACCUUUAGUCCUAGCUACUCAGGAGGCUGAGGCAGGAGAAUCGCUUGAACCCGGGAGGUGGAAGUUGCAGUGAGCUAAGAUGGUGCCACUGUACUCCAGUCUGGGCCAUAGAGUUAGACUCUAUCUCAAAAAAAAAAAAAAAAAAAAUGGACAGAAAGUCAAAAUUAUGUUUUCUCUUCUAGGAGAGGAGUUGUUCUACCUGGACUCCCACUUCCUCCUUAGGUCUUCAGAGAAUGUGAGAAGGAAAUGCAGAGAAAACACCAUGUGGGCUGAUGGUGUUGACCUGGCUGGAGUUCUGGUGUUCUUCCAAAGUCCAAGAGACUCUUGGCUGUUAAUGCUUAACUCCUCUCAAGGUCACCAACUGGCUGCCAGCAGCUCCUGGAAGCAACUGUAUGCUUUAAAACUGACAACCAGCAAGGCGGAAAGAGCAUCAUUGCCACCAUUUUAAGCAAAAGCUCAGAAAGUCACUCUGAUUGAAGAGGUUUAGGUCAUAUGUCUAUCUUUGAAUCAAUCACUACAUUCAAGGAGAUGCUGAUUGGCCUAGCCAAGGUCAUAUGCUUCAUCUUUGAGGGGAAGGAGAUGGUAUUUUUUUUUGGAUUCCCGAACAGAAACCAGGUAUUCUUAAGAAGGGGGAAGGUAAUAAACACAUGUCUGAUGGACACCUGAAGAACUUUGAGCAUGGUUCUGAGCUCACUGGAACUAAGUCACAUGAAUAGUCUUGCUCCAAAGGCUGGGCCUCAAAAUCUUGCAGCUGUUUGCAGAGCUGUUCCACCUUAUAUCUGUACCUAAGGAUUUGUGUUUCAAGGCCUCCUUUUAAUCUGUAGGUGUUUCGGUUUUCUAGCAUUACCUAACAAACCACCUCAAUCUUAGUGGCUUAAAAUAACCACCAUUUUAUUAUUUCACAGAAUUUCACAUUGACUGGGUGCAGCUGGUCAGUAUCACUGCUACUCCACAUGUUGGCUGGGGGUUCAGUCACCGGGGGGCUUGACUGGUCUGGAAUGCCCAAGCUUGGCUGAAGACAUCUGCUAUGGCUGGCUCUGUACGUCAACCUGGCUAGGCUGUAUUACCCAGUUAUUCAGUCAGACGCUAAUUGGAAUGUUGCUAUGAAGAUAUUUCAUAGAUGUAGUUGAUAUCUGUUGUCAGCUGAUUUUAUGUAAAGGGGGUUACUUUUGAUAAUGGAAUGAGCUUUAUACAAUCUGUUGAAAAUUCUUAAGGGCAAAAGUCAAGAUUUUUCUGGAGAUGAAAUCUGCCUCAAGGCUGCCGAGUUAACUUCCGACUGAGUUUCUAGACUGCCUGUGGGCUCUACACUUCCAGACUUCAGAUUUGCUGGUCUCUACAAUGCAAUUAUUCAGUUUCUUAAAAUCAUCUCUAUCUGUCCAUCUGUCUGUCUCCUACUGGUUCUAUUUCUCUGAAGAAUCCUGACUGAGACAACAUCUGAUCAGGGAUGACUCAGCUGGGGCAAGGUGAGCAAAGUGGGUAGGAUGAGUGAAAGAAAACAGUGGCAGAGGUUAAUAGGAGUCAGUCAUCAAAAACCAGCUAGAUAUUUCCUGUGUGUGUGUGUGUGUGUGUGUGUGUGUGUGAGAAAACGUUUUAUAAAAUUCAAAUUUUAUUUUUGUAAAACCUCUGAUGCAGAGAGAGUAAGAAUAAGGUAGACAGGAGGUUCAUGAUUACAUGACUAUCAUAAAUCAGUUAGAUAUUGGCUGGGCAUGGUGGCUCAUGCCUGUAAUCCUAACACUUUGGGAGGCUGAGUAGGGUAGAUAGCUUGUGCCCAGGAGUUUGAGACCAGUCUGGCCAACAUGGCAAAACCGUGUCUCUAAAUAAAUAAGUAACAUUUAAAAAAUUAAUUAGAUAUGGAAUCAAUACAAAUAUUUCUUGAACACUGCGUAGGAGUCCAUGACUACAGUUGGUAUGUUAGGGGUUGGUGAAGGAAGUCCCCAGAGGUGGCCUGCUCCACGUGCCCAAGGGCCUCAGCCGUACUGGCGGAGAUAAAAGCCGACACAUGGAAGUGAAGUACAACGGCCUGCCCUUUCCUUCCUGUUCUGCUCCUACUCAUUCUUCCCAAUCAGCUCAACUCUACCUCUUCUCUUACCCUGACUCUAUCCUGUCACCAGACAGAGUUACAUUUACCCUUCUCUGCAUUCCCCCAGCUCUUUGUAGCUGCCCUCACUAUAUAAUUACUCUUUGUUAUGUGCUGUAGGCUUUGGGCAGAAUUCUAAAAUGACCUCCAGUGAUUCCCUAAAUCUUCUCCCAAUACAGGGCCAGUGAGGUAUUGCUCCCAUGAUUAUGUUAUAUUAUAUGACAAAGGGAUUUUGCAGAUGUAAUUAACAUGCCAAAUCUCACCUUAAGUUAGUGAGAUUACCCUUGGUGAGACUGACAUAAUCAGGUCAGGUUUAAGAGACAAGGCUCUUCAAAAGAGAUUUGAAGUCUGAGAGGGCUCCGAUACAAGAACGGUAAGCCAUUGCUUGCGUGGAGAUGGAGGGGGCCAUGUGGCAAGGAAGGCAGGCAGCAUCCAGGAUCCGAGAGCAGCCUCUGGCUGACAGCCAGCAAGGAGCUUCAGUUCCACAGUCUCAGGGAACUGAGUUCUGCCACAAGCACAGGAACUUGGAAUGGAAUCCCAGCUCCAGAUGAGAAUGCAGCCUGCCUGACACACCUCAGUUUUAGUCCUGUGAGAACCUGAAUGAGAGCCCAUUUGUGCUGUACACAGACUUUCUCAUCCACAGAACUGUGAGCUAAAAACAAGUGUGGGUUUAAGCUGCUAAAUUUUUGGCAAUUUGCAUCACAGCAGUAGAAACAAAUAGAGUUAUGUGUUGCUUAAGGAGGAUCUAUUCUGAGAAAUGUAUCAUUAGGUGAUUUUGUCCUGUGAACAUCAUAGAGUGUACUAAUGUAAACCUAAAUAGUAGAGCAUACUACACACCUAGGCUAUAAGGUAUAGCCCAUUGCUUCUAGGCUACAAACCUCUACAGCAUGUUACUGUAGGUAAUUAUAACAUAAUGGUCAGUAUUUUAUGUAUCCAGAUAUUAAAAAGGUACAGUGAAAACACAGCAUAAAAGAUUUUAAAAAUAGGCCGGGCUUGGUGACUCAUACCUAUAAUCCCAGCACUUUGGGAGGCUGAGGCAGGUGGAUCACUUGAAGACAGGAGUUUGAGACCAGGCCGUCCAACAUGGUGAAACUCUGUCUCUACUAAAAAUACAAAAAUCAGCUAGGCGUGGUGGCAGGCACCUGUAGUCGCAGCUACUCGGGAGGCUGAGGCAGGAGAAUCACUUGAACCUGGGAGGUGGGUGAGCUGAGAUAGCGCCACUGCACUCCCAGUUUGGGAACAGAGCAAGAGUCUGUCUCAAAAAACAAAAAGCAAAAACAGUACACCCUGUAUAAGAUACUUACCAUGAAGGGGAUUGCAGGACUGGAAGGUGCUCUGGGGGAGUGAGUGAGUGGUGGUCAGUGGAUGUGAAGGCCAAGGACAUUACUGUACACUCCUGUAGCCUUUAUAAACACCUAGACUACAUUAAGUUUAUAAAAAAAAUUUAGUUCUUCAAAAAUAAAUUAACUUUAGCUUGCUAUAACACUUAUGUUAUGAAUUUAAUUUUUUUAACACUUUGACUGGAGUCAUAUUAUGCAUUGUACUGCAAUGUUACAGUGGGUAUGAUAUUGCUAGGCAAUAGACAUUUUCAGGUCCAUUAUAAUCUUAUAAUGCCUAUGUCCUAUAUGCAGUCUAUCAUUGACCAAAGUGUUAUUUUGUGGUGCAUUACUGGACAUUGUGUAUUUGCUUCUCCACUCAGUUGUGAUCUGGAAGCAGGAUCCGUGUCUAUUUUAUCUAUAUAAGCCUCUCUGAGCAAAGUGCCUGGCUUAGAGCAAUGCUCUGAUAAAUGUUUGUUGAAUAAAUUAAUAAAUGAAUAAGUCCUGCAUUUGCAGUACUGUGUAGGCAAUUGAGACAAGGUUCAAACAUCCUCAAUUUAUUUCAGAAAAUUUCAGAAAGUGUUCGUCCAGUGGCCAGCACCAUGCCAAUGUCAAGUCAGUCCAAGAUAAUGUCUCUGGUGUUCUUGGUCUCCCUGUGUUCCUUAUCAUAAUAUAUAGGUAUUGGGGUUUCAAAUGUUACUGACUCAGACAUCAUUAAUCACAGUUAUCAUGGUAUUAGAGAUAAGAGCUGGUGGAAAAAUGAAAAUAAGAGAUAAGGAAAGUUUCAAAACUUACUGCUAUGGUCUGAAUGUUUGUGAGUCCCCCCUGCCACCACCUCCCAAUUCUUUUUUUUUUUUUAAUUGCAAGCCCACAACGGACAUCAUACACCUCCCGAUUCUUAUGUUAAAGUUUUUAUCCCCCAAGGUGAUGAUAUUAGGAGAUGGAGCUUCUGGAGGUGAUUAGGUAAUGAACGUGGAUCCCUAAUAAAUAGGAUUAGUGCCCUUAUUAAAGAGGCCCUACUGGUUAUGGUGGCUCAGAGCCGCAAUCCCAGCACUUUGGGAGGGUGAGGUGGGAGGAUCACUAAAGGCCAGGAGUUCAGGACCAGCCUGUGCAACAUAGCAAGACCCUCCAACCCCAUCUCUACAAAAAAUGUUUUUGUAAUUAGCUGUGUGUGGUGGUGCGAGCCUGUAGUUCCAGCUACUUAGGCAGGAGGAUCACUUCAGCCCAGGUGUUCAAGUGAGCUAUGAUUGCACCACUGUACUCCAGCCUAGGUGAAAGAGUGAGACCCUGACUCUUAAAAAAAUAAAUAAGGGGCCCAAAAGUUACCCCUUGUCCUUCCACCAUGUGAGGACAUGGUGAGAAGGCAUUCUGUAUGCACCCAGGAAACACUGGUCUUAACCAGACACCAAAUCUGCUGCCUUUAUCUUGAACUUCCCAUUUUGCAGAAUUUUGAAAAAUAAAUUUUCCUUGUUUUUAAGCCACCCAAUCUAUGGUAUUUUGGUAUAGCAGCCUGAAUGAACUAAGACACUUAUUUGGAAGAAUAACUUUAUUAUGCCUCCCUUAUAGAACUUCUAAUUGAUGCUACUCAUGAUUACAACUUUGAGCAAUUUAUUUCAUCCUUUUGAGGGUCAGUUUCUUCACUAGUAAUGUAAAGAGGAGGAGACAUUGUGUCAUCCCAGCCCUAAUAUUCUGUAUAAUCUAUGAGUUCUUUUGGCCCAUGGAAGAAAAUAAUGCAGUUGAUUUGGUCAAUGUGUGGAUCAAUUUGGGUCUCUUCAUUUCCCUUUUUUUCCUUUCUCUCUCUCUCUCUCUCUUUCUUUCUCUUUCUUUCUUUCUUUCUUUCUUUCUUUCUUUCUUUCUUUCUUUCUUUCUUUCUUUCUUUCUUUCUUUCUUUUCUUUCAUAGUAUCUCACUCUGUCAUCCAGGCUGGAGUGCAAUGGUGCAGUCUUGGCUCACUGCAACCUCUGCCUCUCAGGUUCAAGUGAUUCUCCUGCCUCAGCCUUUCAAGUAGCUGGAUUAUAGGUAUGCACCACCAUGCCUGGCUAAUUUUGUAUUUUUUUUUAGUAGAGACAGGGUUUUACCAUGUUGGUCAGGCUGGUCUCGAACUCCUGACCUCAAGUGAUUCACCUGCCUCAGCCUCCCAAAGUGCUGGAAUUACAGGCCUGAGCCACCAUGCCUGGUCUCAGGAUCUCUUCAUUUCUUACGUCUGAAAGUCACAAUGUUGCCAUCUAAAUGUACAAAUAAGAGGAACAGAACUUAUUGACUCACUAUCUGAAGGUUUAGAUACCAUAUUGUGACUUGCAAGCUUAAGAAAUGAAGAGACCCCAAAUAAUCUCUCAUUGACAAAACUGACUGCAUUAUUUUCUCCCCACAGACCCAAAGAAGCAUCUCAGAAUCCUCAAGAAACAAGAAAACAUAUUCAUAUUUUCAAAAAUCUUCUAGUAUCUUAAAUCGAUAUUUAAAAACAGGGUAAGGAGCUUUUCUACUCUAAAAAGUUUCAGCAUUGUGAUACAACUGGAAGAGUCCCAGCCAAAAAGCCUUGACAUUUGACUAUCUGGGCAGCAAUAGAUCAUGCACUCAAAAUGAAAAGAGGAUGACAUGAUGCUUAAACUAUGCUUCAAAACCCACCCCCACAACAAAUGAAGCGGGGAGCAGAGGAGCUUGGAUGAUGUAAGAACAAGUAUCUCAAGGGCAUAUGAAGACAUUAAAAGUGAGCACUGGCCAGUAGCUUCCAGAUGGCUACCCUAUUUUAACUCUAGAAAGUGAAGGGCAUUGCCAACUAGUUUUGGUCCCCUCCAAUAUUCAGAAGAAGAUGAAGAUCCAGUGGUGACCCAAGCAGACAAAAUCCCUGCCCUGUGGAACUUAAAAUUUUGAGAAUACUAAAUAGGGAU